UUGAAGACCAUGAUUUGAUAAGACCGGUCAAAUUUGGUCUCUCUAAAUCUUUGUUCGAUUCCCGUCACACAGCAAUGAGCAAAGAGGGGCAGCUAUAGUAGCCCAAAUUUGACCGGGCUUAAACAGAAGAAAAUAAAUGGGCAAAUAAAUAUUAAUUUAUUAAGAGUCCAUUUACAAAGCACCAAAAUACAACAGAGCCC
This 200-nucleotide long non-coding RNA is filed under the name Gossypium barbadense (sea-island cotton). RNAcentral's name for it is "long non-coding RNA (GBAR_LNC011725)". The record is from RNAcentral. Lineage: Eukaryota; Viridiplantae; Streptophyta; Magnoliopsida; Malvales; Malvaceae.